Zonotrichia albicollis (white-throated sparrow) is the source of this 366-nucleotide non-coding RNA. Lineage: Eukaryota; Metazoa; Chordata; Aves; Passeriformes; Passerellidae. The record is from RefSeq and is a predicted model, not a curated record.
GGGCCGAAAUUAUCUCCGUAAUGCGCUUAGAAAAGCAAACAACCUUCACAAGUUUCCACUCGCGGGAGGAGCAAAUCGCAAACCUUGUGCAGAGCCGGAGGAGUUGGGGUUGCGGCCCCGUGGUUUGGCUCUCGGGCUGGUGCUCUGUGUCUGCGGACAAUUCCCAUUGACUCAGAGUUGGAGCCUGUGAUCACUGACAUGCUGUAGAGGAGCUCCAGUCUUAGCAAAGACCUUGGCAUAUUGGAGUGUGUUAGAUUUCCUUCCACAGAAGGGGAAACAAAAAAUAUUUUUCUUGUCUUUGACCAGAUGAAAGGUUGUGAAACCUUUUCUACUCUGUGUAAUAAAGAGAGCUGUUUACAAUUCUGA